This 300-nucleotide ribosomal RNA is filed under the name uncultured Candidatus Endobugula sp. RNAcentral describes it as "bacterial SSU rRNA". It matches the Rfam family "Bacterial small subunit ribosomal RNA", at positions 115 to 434 of the family's 1533-position model. The record is from RNAcentral. Lineage: Bacteria; Pseudomonadati; Pseudomonadota; Gammaproteobacteria; Cellvibrionales; Cellvibrionaceae.
GCGUGGGAAUAUACCUAUCAGUACGGAACAACAGUUGGAAACGACUGCUAAUACCGUAUACGCCUUCGGGAAGGAUUCAUCGCUGAUAGAUUAGCCCGCGUUAGAUUAGCUAGUUGGUGGGGUAAAGGGCCUACCAAGGCGACGAUCUAUAGCUGGUCUGAGAGGAUGAUCAGCCACACUGGAACUGAGACACGGUCCAGACUCCUACGGGAGGCAGCAGUGGGGAAUAUUGCACAAUGGGCGCAAGCCUGAUGCGGCCAUACCGCGUGUGUGAAGAAGGCUUUCGGGUUGUAAAGCACU